This 586-nucleotide ribosomal RNA is filed under the name uncultured bacterium. Its description in RNAcentral is "bacterial SSU rRNA". It matches the Rfam family "Bacterial small subunit ribosomal RNA", at positions 99 to 671 of the family's 1533-position model. The record is from RNAcentral.
CGGAUGGGUGAGUAACACGUGGGGAACCUGCCCCUAAGUCUGGGAUACCAUUUGGAAACAGGUGCUAAUACCGGAUAAUAAAGCAGAUCGCAUGAUCAGCUUUUGAAAGGCGGCGUAAGCUGUCGCUAAGGGAUGGCCCCGCGGUGCAUUAGCUAGUUGGUAAGGUAACGGCUUACCAAGGCGACGAUGCAUAGCCGAGUUGAGAGACUGAUCGGCCACAUUGGGACUGAGACACGGCCCAAACUCCUACGGGAGGCAGCAGUAGGGAAUCUUCCACAAUGGACGCAAGUCUGAUGGAGCAACGCCGCGUGAGUGAAGAAGGUUUUCGGAUCGUAAAGCUCUGUUGUUGGUGAAGAAGGAUAGAGGUAGUAACUGGCCUUUAUUUGACGGUAAUCAACCAGAAAGUCACGGCUAACUACGUGCCAGCAGCCGCGGUAAUACGUAGGUGGCAAGCGUUGUCCGGAUUUAUUGGGCGUAAAGCGAGCGCAGGCGGAAAAAUAAGUCUAAUGUGAAAGCCCUCGGCUUAACCGAGGAACUGCAUCGGAAACUGUUUUUCUUGAGUGCAGAAGAAGGAGAGUGAAACUCC